CAGCAGCCGCGGUAAUACGGGGGGUGCAAGCGUUAAUCGGAAUUACUGGGCGUAAAGCGCACGCAGGCGGUCUGACAAGUCAGAUGUGAAAUCCCCGGGCUUAACCUGGGAACUGCAUUUGAAACUGUCAGGCUGGAGUCUUGUAGAGGGGGGUGGAAUUCCAGGUGUAGCGGUGAAAUGCGUAGAGAUCUGGAGGAAUACCGGUGGCGAAGGCGGCCCCCUGGACAAAGACUGACGCUCAGGUGCGAAAGCGUGGGGAGCAAACAGGAUUAGAUACCCCUGUAGUCCCUGUCUCUUAUAC
RNAcentral lists this ribosomal RNA (301 nucleotides) under uncultured bacterium. RNAcentral's name for it is "partial 16S ribosomal RNA". It matches the Rfam family "Bacterial small subunit ribosomal RNA", at positions 509 to 807 of the family's 1533-position model. The record is from RNAcentral.